UGUCAGCUUCCAGUAAGCAAACCUUCUCUUCAAGGCACAGAUUGCAUCUUGCUGCACCAGCCGUAUACGCACGGGCACGCUUUAGUAUGCUCCACUUGAUGUUGUAUUGCUUCCCGCUUUUCUUGAGUUUCUGCACGCAUACUUUGAUAACUCUGUUUCCGCUGAAUACCGAGGAACAGUUAGUGAUUUUUUAUGGUUGGCAUGCCUCUUCUUAAACGUCCCCGCCGUCAUUCCAAUGUACUCUUUAGUUUCUUCGCCG
Molecule: long non-coding RNA, 259 nt
Filed under: Paramuricea clavata
Lineage: Eukaryota; Metazoa; Cnidaria; Anthozoa; Malacalcyonacea; Plexauridae
Source: RNAcentral